CUAAAAUAUCUAAACUAUCUUCUAAUCCCUAAACCACACCUUAAUUAACUAUAUCCUAAUUAACUAGACCACACCUAUCAACUACACUGUAAUCUAAUUGAUAUCACUUAUACACUACCGCACAAAUCCAGCAACAGGCUGAAGGAAACAAACAACCGAAACAAAAAAAAGAGAAAAGUGCUUAAUGGAUAAAUAGCAACACGUUUUCAACCACCACGACUCCGUUUCACCACGAACCUAGGUUCCAUCCCCGUUCUGCCGCGCCGGAGUUCUUCACCGACGGCAACGGAACUCCUACAAACACGACCUCCACACGGCCAAACUCACUGCGAUUCCCUUAAUCCAAAUCCCCUGUUGAUCCAACCUAAUCUCUAUUCGAAAAUGCAAACCGAAGCAAAAGUUCUCACGAACCCUAGAUUGAAUAUUCCCAAAUCCGGUCCUCAUACGGAGGUAAUCGAGCUUGCAAGUUUGGAUUAUCUCUACUGGAUCCAUAUUUGCACAAUGAUAAUCAACGCGAGUAAAAUCGGUGGAGUUUCACAUACCUUCGUCGUUGACGGUGACGCAUGCGGCGGACGGCGUUUGGAUACUGAUGCGGUACAAAACAAUCGCUUGUCUACUCUCCUAUUCUUCGUCUACUCCAAUCUUCCUCGCCGUUCCCUGGUACUUUGAAUCGUGGCACUUACGUAUCUUGACUUGUAAUCGUGGAAGGCGCGGUUCGAUUGUUGGAUUCGAGAAGAUUCACUGAAGCAAGGGACACCAUGGAUUGAGGACGGAAUCAAGGUCCAGCAAGAACAACCGAUGAAUUCGCCGGCAAAGAUGACCGAUGCAACGACGAGGUUAGCGGAAGCUCGUCUCAGAGACUGAGGCGGAGUGGAUUCUAGCUCAACCGAUCAAAGCUUCAACGUGGAGCUUUGAUGGCUUUGUCUCAGAGCUUUGGUAAGGGUGGAAUGGUGGUGAGGAUGCGGAAUAGAAGAUGGAAACUGGAAGAAGCAGGUUGAGAGUGAUGAUUGAAGAGGAGUUCUUGGAGGGGUUCACGGUGGUUGAAGGUUUAUUACAGGUGGAAGAAGAAGCUGGAAAAGUUUGUUAGAGGUUGAAGGAUUGAGGGCAAAAACGAUUUUGGAAUGAGAGGGAAAAUUUUCUGAAACCAAUGAUUGGCAAUGAUUGCAGCUUAUAUAGCAGGAUCUAAGGGGCAAAUCGGAGAAUUAAAUCUGAAAUGAUUCAAUCUGCACCAUCCAGCUGGCAUUAAGUGAAGGACACAUGCUGUCAUGGAAUUGGUAUUGCACAUCGUCCGCUUUGCACUACAGCGGUCAAGCCAAGGAUUACAAAGGUUAGGCUUUGAAGCCUCAUUGCCGGUUGCAUUCGGGUUGAGAUGGCCUUGCUGCAAGCAUCGUGUUCCCAUAUGAUGGCAGGGCUCGGAGCAAUUCAGUCUCGGUUCCAAUUGCUGAUUACUCGCAAAGGAUUCUCGUAAGGUGACUCAGUUGUAAGCUUUUCAGCAAAAGCAGACGUAGCAGUUUCAAACUUUCUUCAACAGGACGCCAUCCAGGUCGAAUGGCAUGCUGGACAAGACGAAGGCUAAGUGGUGCGUAUCCGGAGAAGACAUGAACAACAUCAUUGGGGGGUUGGCUGUAUCGGUAUCUUCAACCACAAGCUCCAGAGUACAUUUUAUAGCAGCUUGGCGCUCAUGCAAUUGAUUCAAGGAUCAUGAUGGUGUUUGAAGGCCCGAUUAGUGAUCGAGACUAACGGCAUAGCAGGUCUGCAACCAGUAGGUAAUCGCUGUCAUUCUGCGACACGACUACGACCUUAGGUUCAUGGCCCGCACAGAUAGGAUGCGUUGGGUGGUGGGAUGGUUUUGCCAGUGUGUAUUGCAAUGCUGACUUGGUUGUCGGAAUUGCGGCGUUUAGCUCAGUUCUGAAGCUCUGUUAUUGAGGUGGUCGGCAUUCCGGACAAAGAGCUUUCAGCUUAUCCUGUGGCAGCUUGCGGUUCUCUCGGCAGCACUGGCAGCUUAUGCUUUCCCUUUUUUAAUUCCUUGGCUCAUGUAAACCACUGUUUGGAUAACAUAUCAAGGAUUGCAUUAUGUAACGGUUGGGAUGGCAUUGACUUAAUUCCCAUGGUACUGUUUCAGUGUAAUUUGAAGAAUUAGGAUAAAAUAGAAUGAAUAUGUAAUGCUAUUGUCAUUAGUAAGAAUGGUUAUUUGAAUUUGCUUGUAGAAUUUUGAUAAUGGUUUUGGAAUGUAUGUAAUAUGGCAAUGUUUGGAAUUUGGUUGUACAAUUAUGGAUGAAAUGAAUGUUAUGAAUGAAUGCUAUUGGCGA
Lathyrus oleraceus (garden pea) is the source of this 2309-nucleotide long non-coding RNA. RefSeq lists it as uncharacterized. The record is from RefSeq and is a predicted model, not a curated record. The transcript has 5 exons. Lineage: Eukaryota; Viridiplantae; Streptophyta; Magnoliopsida; Fabales; Fabaceae.